GAUGAACGCUGGCGGCGUGCUUAACACAUGCAAGUCGAACGGGGUUUAGCGAGAGCUUGCUUUUGCUAAACCUAGUGGCGGACGGGUGAGUAACGCGUGAGUAACCUGCCUUAGACUGGGGGAUAACACUUAGAAAUAGGUGCUAAUACCGCAUAAGCGCACAGUGCCGCAUGGCACAGUGUGAAAAACUCCGGUGGUCUAAGAUGGACUCGCGUCUGAUUAGCUAGUUGGUGAGGUAACGGCCCACCAAGGCGACGAUCAGUAGCCGGCCUGAGAGGGUGAACGGCCACAUUGGGACUGAGACACGGCCCAAACUCCUACGGGAGGCAGCAGUGGGGGAUAUUGCACAAUGGGCGAAAGCCUGAUGCAGCAGACGCCGCGUGAGUGAAGAAGUAUUUCGGUAUGUAAAGCUCUAUCAGCAG
This 422-nucleotide ribosomal RNA is filed under the name bacterium NE2009. Its description in RNAcentral is "bacterial SSU rRNA". It matches the Rfam family "Bacterial small subunit ribosomal RNA", at positions 28 to 442 of the family's 1533-position model. The record is from RNAcentral.